CCAGGUUCGGGGCUCUCCGGAGAGAUAAUACCCCUACUCCUGCAUGUCUGAGCAUAUAUAUCUGGGGUGUACAUCGGGCAGUACAAAGCGCUCCUAGAGCUGUAUCUGGGGGCAGUGCCAUGGGCAUCUGACUCCAUAUAUGUGUGCACAAGGCACGCUUUAGUGGCCGGCCAUGAGCAUGGCCGUAUGUGUGCUUGGGCAUGCUUGCCCGUGGGAAUGGAUGGAUGGAUGGCUAGCUAGCUCUCUUGCUAGCUAGCUUGCUUGUGUGUGUACGUGUGAGUCCAUCCAUGGAUGGAUGGAUGUGUGUCUCCUUUUAUAGGAGAGGGUAGCUUUGCAUCUAAGCUAUGUGGAGGUAUGGGAGCAAGGCAUGGUGCAUGUCAUGCUUGUCCCCUAGGUCACUUCAUGAAUAGUGCCAGGGGACAAGUGACACUAUACAUGACGGUGUCGCGGUACGGUUGUCUUGUCUGCGGUAUGGCCGUCUCGUCGGGGUCUUGUCGAUGCCGGGUCGGACUGCAGUCGGCAGUCGGCUAGUCGGUGCAGUUGGUCAGCUGGCAGCCGGCCGGGUGGAGCAGUCGGACGGGGAGCCGGCAGGAGCGGCCGGGCAGUCGGACUGAGGGGCUUUGCUAGCCCCGAUGUCUUGAAAUAUUGUCUCGCCGUCUUCGGGAUACCCGUGUCCAAUUACUCCGACAGUAGCCCCCAAGCCUCCGGGCAACUUGGCAAAGUCGGGCGGAGGUUUUUUCGCGAGUGUUCAUGGAAAUGAUCAUGCAAAAAACAAAGUUAGUCCAUGCAGAUAUGUCAAAUGAUUGCUUUUUAGCACUGCAAGUUUUAUGCGGAGGGUGCCGACUCGGUUUCGUCCGAGCCCCCUUUAAUCUUUUUCAUGUUCCCUCCGCUCUUUGGCUUGUGCUCUCGCUUGCCGGACAGCCGCUCUGCGGUCUGUGGCUGAGAGUGGGCCGCGGAGUGGAGUGUACAAUACUCAGGCUCUGGGAGCGAAUUUAACCGAGUAGAUACUCAUAAAGAAAACGGUCGGGUCGCCCGAAGCGUUUUUCUUCCCGGACGUUUUUCGCGUGGGUGGCCUUCAGCGUUCACUCUUGCCAGUCGGACAGCCGCUCUGCGGUCUGUGACUAAGAGUGGGCUUUUCAUACCGUGCACGCUACUAAGCCGUCUGCGGGAACAAACGUCUCAGGCCAAGCGGCCAGCCCCCGGGCCAACUCUGGCUGGCGCCGGGGCAAACAGUGAUGCAACUGUAAUGAAAUGCGGAGAUACCCCCGAGCAUCGCUCGAGGUUAUCUGUGCUCUCGCGGUGAAAAAAAUCUGCAGGUGAGGAGCUCACAUUGGUUUUCGUGUAGCCGAGGCGGAGUUUGCCGAAGAGAGCCGGCGCACCCGCUGGGUGUAGCCUUCGAGCCCCCGAUCGCUCGAAGGAGGGUCCCGGCCGGUCAGGCUCGACCGGCCAGGCGGCGAGGCGUUUUGCAACGCCCUUUUUCUUCUUCCGCCGGCUGCUGGCAACCGGACAAAACUCUUCUCUUGUCUCCGUGGGGGCGCGCCAGCGCACCCACUGGGUGUAGCCCCCGAGAUUCGGGCCGACUGCUGAGCAGUCGGGCCGGAUCUUCCGGCAACGACUUUGUCUUCUUUCCUCGCGGGGGCGCGUCAGCGCACCCGCUGGGUGUAGCCCCCGAGAUUCGGGCCGACUGCUGAGCAGUCGGGCCGGAUCUCCCGGCGACUACUCUGUCUUCUCUCCUCGCGGGGGCGCGUCAUCGCACCCGCCGGGUGUAGCCCCCGAGACUCGGGCCGAGGUUCGACCAGCCAGGCGUCGAGGCGGACCGGCAGGCCAGGUCGCGUCCGAGUGACGAAGCAGGCGGACGGAUAGACGGAGUUUUUCCUUUUCUUUGUCCCAGCCGACCUCUUCUUUCCUUCUCUCUCUUCUUUUUUUUUGCCGGCUUGACUUUUCUUCUUUCUCUUUUGCUCCAGCCGGCAGAGGAGCUUGCACAGCGCAGUCCGCACGGGCGUGGCCAGCCGACCUGCGGGAGGAGCCGGCUAGCCGGGAUGCGGGCGGGGCCGGCAAGCGGCCGGGUCGCCGGGCGGGGCCGGCACGUGGCGGAGCCGGCCGGGUGGCGACGGAGACGGCAGGCGGCGGAGCCAGUCGUCCGAGUUGGGGGGAGCCGUCAGGCCGGGUCACCGGUGAAGCCGGCGCGGCGAGGGCUGAAGGAGCCGGCGCGCGGCCAGAGUCGGCGGGGCGACGCGAGGCGAUGCGGGCGAAGCGGCGCGACCGCGCGGAGGCCGGCCCGUGGGGCGGCGAGUCGGCAGGCGAUGAGCGAGGGGAGCCGGUGCGGGCUUGGGGCACUCGGCCGCAUGGAGGAGCGACGAGGCGGACGCCGGCCAGCGGGGCAAGGCGGCCGAAGCAAGGCGAAGCCGGCCCGCGGGAGCCGGCGGGCGGGCGAGGCGGCGAGUCGGCGCGGGGGGAGCCGAACCCGGGAUGCGCGGAGCCGGCCGGGCCGGGUCGCGCGGAGGGCGGGAGGCCGGCGCGCGCGAAGCUGGACGGGUGGGGGAGUCGGCGCGCGCACAGCCGCGGGAGGCCGGGUGCUGGAUGGCGACGCGAAGUCGGCGCACGCGGGGUCGGAGUCAUAUGUUGGAGCCGGCCAGGCGGGACGCGGACCCGGCACGCGGAGCAGGCGGCCCGGGCUCACGGAGCCGGCGCGGGACAGCCGCGGGAGACGGCCGGAGUAGCUCGAGGGCGGCCAGGCGGACCGCAAGCGCGGGACCGGAGGCGGGCAGGACGUCGGCCGGCCGAACUGGCGCGCGGCCGCGGGGGGCCAAGCCGGCACGCGUGUAAGGAGGCGGCAGGGCGUGGUGGUCGCCACGUCCGGGUGCGGACGCCGGGCGCGGGAGGGCCCCAGGUGGCGACGAGAGGCCGGACGCGGGGGUAGCCGCGGAGCUGCAGGGAGCCUGUGCGGGGUUGGAGCAGCGAGGUGGAGCUUGUGGGCGUCGAGAGCUGCAGGGCAGCAGCGGAGCAGCCCGCGGUGGUGCGGGCGGACGGGCAGCCGCGCUGGUGGAGGAGCAGGCGUUCAGCCGCUACUGGCGCUUGGGAUGGAGACGAGCAAAGUCGUUCGAGGCAGGAAUAGCUACAGCGAGGCAGCAUUGCCAUGGUUUGGAAGUGUUUGCUUCGCCUUGACUAAUGCGUGGAUAGUGUAUGAGUGGUAUAUGACCAUGGUUUGACUCGCAUCCGGCCAAUAUACGGGUAGUGUGGCUGCGUUUUUCGGCCAGAGCAAGGCAUAAUGCGGAGGGGAGCAGACGCGAGCGACGUGGCACGGCGCGCGCACCGAUACGGCCGACCGAAGCGAGGCACCGCACGCGCGGCGCGUGUGCGGACGGACGAUCGGCGUUGCAAUGGUGAUGAUGACGGAGGCGGCGAGGCCGACGACGAGGACGUGCCGUCCCGCGCGGCCGCUCCGGGGGCAGGUCGAAGUCGAGCCCCCGAGCGCUACCGGAGAGACGGCGCGACGCCGCGGCGGUGAUGGCGAAGAUGGUCCCGACGGCGAGGACGCGCCGCCCCUCGCGGCCAUUCCGAGGGUGUGUCGAUAUCGAGCCCUCGACCGCUAUCGGAGGGACGGCGCGACGCCGCGGUGAUGAUGACGAAGGCGAGGCCUACGGCAAGGACGCGCCGCCCCUCGCGGCCAUUCCGAGGGUGUGUCGAUAUCGAGCCCUCGACCGCUAUCGGAGGGACGGCGCGACGCCGCGGUGGUGAUGGCGAAGAUGGUCCCGCCCGGACUGCGAAACCAGCAUCAGCGCGGUAGCAUAGUACCGCCCCACGGUGGGCGCCAACUGUCGUGGUAUUCUCACGGGGGGGUGUGAGGCGACAGAUGCCACAAGGGCUUUGUGUGAGGGUAAGACUGCUGCUGAUAGGCCCGGGAGCGGGUAUGCGAGUAGCACGCGCUAGUUUACCCAGGUUCGGGGCUCUCCGGAGAGAUAAUACCCCUACUCCUGCAUGUCUGAGCAUAUAUAUCUGGGGUGUACAUCGGGCAGUACAAAGCGCUCCUAGAGCUGUAUCUGGGGGCAGUGCCAUGGGCAUCUGACUCCAUAUAUGUGUGCACAAGGCACGCUUUAGUGGCCGGCCAUGAGCAUGGCCGUAUGUGUGCUUGGGCAUGCUUGCCCGUGGGAAUGGAUGGAUGGAUGGCUAGCUAGCUCUCUUGCUAGCUAGCUUGCUUGUGUGUGUACGUGUGAGUCCAUCCAUGGAUGGAUGGAUGUGUGUCUCCUUUUAUAGGAGAGGGUAGCUUUGCAUCUAAGCUAUGUGGAGGUAUGGGAGCAAGGCAUGGUGCAUGUCAUGCUUGUCCCCUAGGUCACUUCAUGAAUAGUGCCAGGGGACAAGUGACACUAUACAUGACGGUGUCGCGGUACGGUUGUCUUGUCCGUGGUAUGGCCGUCUCGUCGGGGUCUUGUCGAUGCCGGGUCGGACUGCAGUCGGCAGUCGGCUAGUCGGUGCAGUUGGUCAGCUGGCAGCCGGCCGGGUGGAGCAGUCGGACGGGGAGCCGGAAGGAGCGGCCGGGCAGUCGGACUGAGGGGCUUUGCUAGCCCCGAUGUCUUGAAAUAUUGUCUCGCCGUCUUCGGGAUACCCGUGUCCAAUUACUCCGACAGGUGCACGGUGUGGCUUCACC
RNAcentral lists this long non-coding RNA (4645 nucleotides) under Triticum aestivum (bread wheat). RNAcentral describes it as "long non-coding RNA (TAES_LNC013480)". Lineage: Eukaryota; Viridiplantae; Streptophyta; Magnoliopsida; Poales; Poaceae. The record is from RNAcentral.